GACGGAGGGUGCAAGCGUUGUUCGGAAUUACUGGGCGUAAAGGGCGCGUAGGCGGUCUGUUAAGUUCGGUGUGAAAGCCCCCGGCUCACCUGGGGAACUGCGCCGGAAACCGACAGACUCGAGUACCGGAGAGGAGGGUGGAAUUCCUGGUGUAGCGGUGAAAUGCGUAGAUAUCAGGAGGAACACCGGUGGCGAAGGCGGCCCUCUGGACGGAUACUGACGCUGAGGCGCGAAAGCGUGGGGAACAAACAGG
This 253-nucleotide ribosomal RNA is filed under the name uncultured bacterium. RNAcentral describes it as "partial 16S ribosomal RNA". It matches the Rfam family "Bacterial small subunit ribosomal RNA", at positions 524 to 776 of the family's 1533-position model. The record is from RNAcentral.